This 324-nucleotide long non-coding RNA is filed under the name Oryza brachyantha (malo sina). RNAcentral's name for it is "long non-coding RNA (OBRA_LNC002344)". The record is from RNAcentral. Lineage: Eukaryota; Viridiplantae; Streptophyta; Magnoliopsida; Poales; Poaceae.
GCCACCAUUCGCUCGCUGCUGAUUCGCUCGCCCUCGCGCAUCAUUAUUGCCCCCCUGCCCCCGCCCCCGCGCGCGCUCCGUCGUCUGCCGGUGGCCACCGUGCGUACGUGCGUGUAGGAGGCGCUGCUGCCGAGCUCACCCACCGUAGCGCAUCGUCGCCGUCGCCCGUCGGUCGCCGCCUUCCUCGCCCAACUUAGGCAGGUCGCGCUCCCUCACUCGCCGCUCGCCGCGCUUAGCUCUAGCCUGCUCUGCUUGGGUGGGUGGGUCGUCUGUUGGUGUGGAUAAGUUUGGCCUUGCGAUGGGGGAGGCGCCGAAGCCCAAGUC